This 303-nucleotide ribosomal RNA is filed under the name uncultured bacterium. Its description in RNAcentral is "partial 16S ribosomal RNA". It matches the Rfam family "Bacterial small subunit ribosomal RNA", at positions 507 to 807 of the family's 1533-position model. The record is from RNAcentral.
AGCAGUCGCCACGGUAAUACGUAGGUGGCAAGCGUUGUCCGGAAUUAUUGGGCGUAAAGCGCGCGCAGGUGGUUUAAUAAGUCUGAUGUGAAAGCCCACGGCUCAACCGUGGAGGGUCAUUGGAAACUGUUAAACUUGAGUGCAGGAGAGAAAAGUGGAAUUCCUAGUGUAGCGGUGAAAUGCGUAGAGAUUAGGAGGAACAUCAGCGGCGAAGGCGGCUUUCUGGACUGCAACUGACACUGAGGUACGAAAGCGUGGGGAGCAAACAGGAUUAGAUACCCGAGUAGUCCCUGUCUCUUAUAC